This 478-nucleotide ribosomal RNA is filed under the name uncultured bacterium. Its description in RNAcentral is "partial 16S ribosomal RNA". It matches the Rfam family "Bacterial small subunit ribosomal RNA", at positions 28 to 523 of the family's 1533-position model. The record is from RNAcentral.
GACGAACGCUGGCGGCGUGCUUAACACAUGCAAGUCGAACGGUAAGGCCCUUCGGGGUACACGAGUGGCGAACGGGUGAGUAACACGUGGGUGAUCUGCCCUGCACUUCGGGAUAAGCCUGGGAAACUGGGUCUAAUACCGGAUAGGACUCCUGGCUUCAUGGUUGGGGGUGGAAAGCUUUUGCGGUGUGGGAUGGGCCCGCGGGCUAUCGGCUUGUUGGUGGGGCAAUUGCCUAGCAAGGAGACGACGGGUAGCCGGCCUGAGAGGGUGACCGGUCACACUGGGACUGAGAUACUGCCCAGACUCCUACGGGAGGCAGCAGUGGGGAAUAUUGCACGAUGGGCGCAAGCCUGAUGCAGCGACGCCGCGUGAGGGAUGACGGCCUUCGGGUUGUAAACCUCUUUCAGCACCGACGAAGCGCAAGUGACGGUAGGUGCAGAAGAAGGACCGGCCAACUACGUGCCAGCCGCCGCCGUAA